Molecule: unclassified non-coding RNA, 207 nt
Filed under: Hevea brasiliensis (rubber tree)
Lineage: Eukaryota; Viridiplantae; Streptophyta; Magnoliopsida; Malpighiales; Euphorbiaceae
Source: RNAcentral
CUGCCGUUGACCACUGUAAACUACAUAUUCACGAACACCCACCCACACGAUAAGAUUCAUGCUCCCUCUCUCAUACAUGGUGACAGGUCCCGCACGAGACCCCUCGCUACAGAAGAGAUAAUAUAAAUUUUCAUCCCAUGCAAUAAUUUCAAAACAAGGACUGAAUGUACGCAUAUGCACCUCAGUUAGAACCUAGGAUUAAGAUGC